Molecule: ribosomal RNA, 1579 nt
Filed under: Drosophila melanogaster (fruit fly)
Lineage: Eukaryota; Metazoa; Arthropoda; Insecta; Diptera; Drosophilidae
Description: eukaryotic LSU rRNA
Rfam family: Eukaryotic large subunit ribosomal RNA
Source: RNAcentral
GACACGCAAACUUCUCAACAGGCCGUACCAAUAUCCGCAGCUGGUCUCCAAGGUGAAGAGUCUCUAGUCGAUAGAAUAAUGUAGGUAAGGAAGUCGGCAAAUUAGAUCCGUAACUUCGGGAUAAGGAUUGGCUCUGAAGAUUGAGAUAGUCGGGCUUGAUUGGGAAACAAUAACAUGGUUUAUGUGCUCGUUCUGGGUAAAUAGAGUUUCUAGCAUUUAUGUUAGUUACUUGUUCCCCGGAUAGUUUAGUUACGUAGCCAAUUGUGGAACUUUCUUGCUAAAAUUUUUAAGAAUACUAUUUGGGUUAAACCAAUUAGUUCUUAUUAAUUAUAACGAUUAUCAAUUAACAAUCAAUUCAGAACUGGCACGGACUUGGGGAAUCCGACUGUCUAAUUAAAACAAAGCAUUGUGAUGGCCCUAGCGGGUGUUGACACAAUGUGAUUUCUGCCCAGUGCUCUGAAUGUCAAAGUGAAGAAAUUCAAGUAAGCGCGGGUCAACGGCGGGAGUAACUAUGACUCUCUUAAGGUAGCCAAAUGCCUCGUCAUCUAAUUAGUGACGCGCAUGAAUGGAUUAACGAGAUUCCUACUGUCCUAUCUACUAUCUAGCGAAACCACAGCCAAGGGAACGGGCUUGGAAUAAUUAGCGGGGAAAGAAGACCCUUUUGAGCUUGACUCUAAUCUGGCAGUGUAAGGAGACAUAAGAGGUGUAGAAUAAGUGGGAGAUAUUAGACCUCGUUUGGUAUCGUCAAUGAAAUACCACUACUCUUAUUGUUUCCUUACUUACUUGAUUAAAUGGAACGUGUAUCAUUUCCUAGCCAUUAUACGGAUAUAUUUAUUAUAUCUUAUGGUAUUGGGUUUUGAUGCAAGCUUCUUGAUCAAAGUAUCACGAGUUUGUUAUAUAAUCGCAAACAAAUUCUUUAAUAAAACGAUGCAUUUAUGUAUUUUUGAUUUGAAAAUUUGGUAUAACUCCAAUUACUCAGGUAUGAUCCAAUUCAAGGACAUUGCCAGGUAGGGAGUUUGACUGGGGCGGUACAUCUCUCAAAUAAUAACGGAGGUGUCCCAAGGCCAGCUCAGUGCGGACAGAAACCACCAUAGAGCAAAAGGGCAAAUGCUGACUUGAUCUCGGUGUUCAGUACACACAGGGACAGCAAAAGCUCGGCCUAUCGAUCCUUUUGGUUUAAAGAGUUUUUAACAAGAGGUGUCAGAAAAGUUACCAUAGGGAUAACUGGCUUGUGGCGGCCAAGCGUUCAUAGCGACGUCGCUUUUUGAUCCUUCGAUGUCGGCUCUUCCUAUCAUUGUGAAGCAAAAUUCACCAAGCGUUGGAUUGUUCACCCAUGCAAGGGAACGUGAGCUGGGUUUAGACCGUCGUGAGACAGGUUAGUUUUACCCUACUAAUGACAAAACGUUGUUGCGACAGCAUUCCUGCGUAGUACGAGAGGAACCGCAGGUACGGACCAAUGGCACAAUACUUGUUCGAGCGAACAGUGGUAUGACGCUACGUCCGUUGGAUUAUGCCUGAACGCCUCUAAGGUCGUAUCCGUGCUGGACUGCAAUGAUAAAUAAGGGGCAAUUUGCAUUGU